CAGUGCGCCAGCAUGGCACAUGUAUACAUAUGUAACUAACCUGCACAAUGUGCACAUGUCCCCUAAAACUUAAAGUAUAAUAAAAAAAAAAAAAGAAUCUUCAAACCUAAUGCCUAGAACAUUUUAUCAACAUUAAACUUCUAUUUAAAGUUUAUUCUUAGCUAUCUAUAAGAAACGUUUACUAGGAAGCAGAAAAAAUAAGCUCUUUCUAAAAGAGUAUAUUUGCAAUUUGAACUUUCAAAAAUUGAUAAAGCAGUACACACAUUUAUUUUUAGAAAUUGAAGCUGCAAAGCUAAGCAAUUUCCUACUAUGACAUGUGUGUUGGACAGUGUAGGGCAUAGCAAUGAUUAGUGAUUUUCAGCAGCCUUUCUUGAAUAGGCAUUGAAAAUAGCUAAACAAAAAAAGAGAAAUGAGCUGAAUUCUUGGAGUUAAUAUUUUGGAGUGAAUUAUAAAACAGAGUUCUUGCAAUAAUGCAUGUAAAUUAAAAAUAGGUUAGCAAAGCAUGAGUAAAAAUAGUCAAUUUUCAAAUACUUUUCACAGCUCUCCGAGUCUGACAUAUUUCUCUGGCUAAAAGGGAAGAAACAUAUCGGCACUCAUGUUGGGAAGACCUUAGAACAGCAAAGUACUAAAACUUGCCAAACCAACUUCAAGUGGCUUUCUUGUUAGUGCAAUACACACUGCACUGAGUUCCUGAGCAUAAUAUUUCCACCCUUUCCCACGGAGUCUGCUUAAAUUUGAAGAUUUUUUUUCUAGUAGGUGUAUUGUCCUUAAUUUUGGAGGAAGUUUUAAAAAGGUGGAUUAAUGUUAUAUAUGCUUCCGAGAAUAUUAUGCAACCAUGAAGCUUUGCACUUCAACAUAAAUGAAUCCCAAAAAGAGCCAGAUGAACUGUUGGCUGGGAGGCAGAGCCUUAGGAUGUUUCAAAUUCAUCGUGACUUCACAUAAAGGUCCUCUCUGGAGUAUGAAAGUCAAUUUUACAGGUGUAAAAUAAAGGAAAAGACGACAGUCUGAAAGUCAAACGAAAUUCCAGGACCACCUGUAUUUCAGUGAGGAAAAGAAACUCCUCAGACCAAAACAAUAACAGCAACAACAAAAAACUGUUUUCGUUUGGGAGGAGGACCAAAAGGAAGGAAUAAGGGUCAGGCACUGACUCUACAGGUUGCCUCUCAUAUCUCUUCAUCAUAUAUACCUCUUCAAAUUCAAUCGAGAUUUCAAUUCGUCUCACUUCUCCCCAACCUUACUCUGAUCUCCUGGUAAUUUUAGAGUAAUUGAGAAUAUUUUCUAACAUACGUGUCAACAUAAUGAAGGAGCUGGGACCUAAGUGAAGAAGCGACAAAAUUUACAGUGGCUUUGAAUGCUGGUUCCUGAAUGGAUUUGCUUGACUGCAAUUCAAUCUUUUUUGUGGCUCAAGGCUCACUCACCUCUAAAAGGCACUUUGUUUGUCAGAAUCGAUUUAAAUCAAUUUCUGUGGAAAUUAAAAUUAAAUAUGGUAUCCCUAAGAUUCUUGCAUUUAUUUCAAUUUUUAAAUUAUUGAUUUAUACAUGAUUUUUAUGCCCCAUCAUUAUAUGAACAUUUAUAUAAUUAGUG
This 1584-nucleotide long non-coding RNA is filed under the name Homo sapiens (human). Its description in RNAcentral is "HSALNT0009567". The record is from RNAcentral. Lineage: Eukaryota; Metazoa; Chordata; Mammalia; Primates; Hominidae.